AGCAGACGCUGGAGUGUGUCCACCGGUCUACAAGGAGAGGCCUACCUAUACUCUGCCUCCCUGGCCUCCUUGAGGGAGGGUGCUUUACCCCACCCCCUUACCCUCUCCCUUGCCUCUCCCCUCUCUUGCCAUCUUUAAAAACCACACGCAGGCAGAAAUCAAUCCAUCAAAUGUCGUUACAGAUUUAUUAAAGCCUGAUGUAGAAAGACAUUUAACAGAACCAUCUCCAGGAAGCAUAAAAAGAGCACUUCGAUUCAGUCUUGUGCUUUGAAAAUCUAAAUAUAUUUUUAUCAUAUAAAUAAUUCUUUUCAUGGUUUAAGUGCGUCUGUGUGUUUUUCUCUUCUCUGUCUCUUUGCUCCUUUCAUCCCCCGCCCCUUCUCAAUUGGCCAAAGUAGGAGUCUGAAAGAGGAUGAGCUGCUGAGCUAAUAGCUGGGCGGUGUCUCUGCGAGCCGCCGCUGCUACCAGGACCGCUAGGUUCCGGACCGUGGUUCUGUGUCUAUAGCAUUGUGAUGGAGGGCCGCCUCUGGCACCCCGACAGCGAACACACCCAGGUCCUUAUAGCUGAAGCUAAGACUUCUUAUGCAGAUUGCCAUGCGGUUUCAGAUAGGAAUAGUCUAUUUUUAAUAACAGCUGAAUGAUGAAAAAAGAUUUUUUUCUUGCUACAAAAGAUUGAUAUGUUAAAAGUGGUAUCAGCGGGCAUCAUACACAGCAUGCAGGAGAGAGUCGUAGCCGUGCACAGAACAUUCUACAGCUGGUUGAUGGCCUUAGCUGGAAGGAGGCACAGAAAAGGAAGGGACACCUCUCAUUGUCUCUGUUCCCAAAGGGUGGCUGAAGAGCGGAGGUACUCAAAGGUAAUUUGCAUGAUAUUUGCAUAUCAUUCUCCCUGGUGUCUGUGGUCCCAGCUUACCUAAAGAAGGAAGUGGUACAAAAGCAGAUAAAAAUGCUCUCCUGGAGUUCAAGUCAUUUCAUUUUCUCUCUCCAGGAAGAAGUUUCUAGAAGCUUCCUAGGCUUGCCAAAUGAAGACAGGCCCGGUGUCUAGAAAUACACCGAGAGCCGUGUGCGCACGCCGAGGUGCCGGCUCGGAUCUUGUUUUCUGCAGAGAACAUUAACAGCUGUCUCUCAGCAGUGACAUUCACAGUUGCCAAGUGACAAUUCAGGAGUCUAACCAAAUUUAUCAAUAUUUUUGUCUCUCGCCUCCCACCUCACCCCACCAGAGAAAUUGCACUAACGGAAAACCAUAUAGAUUAUACGCAAAGCAGCGCAUUUAUUCUUAUUUUUGUCUUAGGAGGGAAAUGAUUACCCAGGGGUCCAGAAGCGUGUUGCACUCCCAGGCAGAUCGGGAGGUCUGAGUUUGCAUUCGGUUGGUUUCAGAGGGUCUGAAUUAUGUAGUUUCCCUGAUAACCCCGGGUUGGAACAGGCGAUUUUUAGCAGCUCCAAGAACCCCCAUGCUAAUGUAUUAUCCCACCCCCAACCCCUUUUAAUAGAGUCUUGCCGUUGAAGGACAGUGCUCCGUCCAGUCCACCCUUCAAUCUUAACCCAUCUGAAGCCUGUUCCUUUCCAGCUGAGUUCCGUUCAUUUCUGGUUGAACAGGUUAAGCAAAGACAGACCUCUCUGUUCUCAAUUCACUUUACGAUCCUCCCAUCAUAAAAAAUAAUAUCAGCACCUUGCUUUUCAUGUCAGAACUACGUCUGAGCCGCUGUUCCCUGUGCCCGUGAGUAAAUCCCAUAAAAGCCGCCCCGUUGUACUGUUGUUAUUUUUCCUUGUGGAUGAUUGAUGGAUGGAUGGGCGCUGACACUUCAAUGAAGCUAUUUCGACUGCCAUCUCAAUCCGAUGAUGUGAGGGGUAUAUUUUCCGUCCAUGCCUCAUUACUUCAGAAUGACAUUCCUGGAACUUCAUUUACUUUUCCCCUCCUUCCCUGAAGCACCAUAUUUUUCCCCAUCUAGGUUAUGCAUACCAUAAAAAAAAGCAAUGUGCUAUUAUAUGUGGCAUAAGGGCAACACUUUCCUUAGGAGGUAAAUAAGUUUUUUUUCUUUUUCUUUUUUCUUUUUUACUUCAAAUUUUAUUUUAAAUCCCAGUGUUGAAUUUAGGGAUCAUGUCAAAAUUUCCAAGACAUUUCCAACAGACAGCCUCUAUAAUAAAUGGUGAAAGGGAUAUAUUGGGCUUCAUUUUGCCAGCUUUUUUUUUUUUUUGAUAACCUUGGUAAUUAAAUCAAUAAUGCAAAAAUAGUCGUUUGUUUCAGAGUGUUGUGCUGAGAUAGUUUAAGUAUUUCACCCAUAGCUGAGUGACGAUUUAAAAUACAAUCCAGACUUUGUUGUCCUAGGAGAGCAAAGAGGCUCAUUGUUUGCAUGAAAUGAUGGAUUUAUCUGUUAUAGGUUACUCCCCGUUGUACAGAAAAUGCUUGGCUAGAACAAACCCAUCUUCCCUGCACUUCCAAACUGUGUACUAGGUCUGCGAGACUUUAAUAUUAAAACAUGCUCUUAGCUUUUCCAAGUUGACUUAGGACCUGAUUUUCAUCUGUGUAAUACAGUAUUCCCGUUAAUAAUAACGUGUAAUUAAGACAUCCGUUAAAAAUCCAUAACGUUAAUUUAAUGGAGAAAAUCUAAUACAGUUCUAUUGGAAUUUUUACGUUAAAUUAACUUUAACGGGCUUUUAAUGGAUGUCUUAAUUAGAUCUCAUUAUUAACGGGAAUAUUCCACAAAUUAAAAUUGGGCCCUUAAAGUUUUAAUGAAAAAAGUUGCAGGAAUGCGUUUAAAACGGACACCCUGUUUUCAUGUAUUCUGCAUGGUUCGGAGGAGAAGUUGCAUUGGAGAGGCAACAGGUCCUGCAGGAGACAGAAGUGGCUACUUCCCAGUGCACCCUUGGUGAGGACGAUCUUGCUUUCUCUCAGGUUCUACUCUGCACCUCUCCCAGUGGCCAGACUCAUCUGACAGUGGUGCAUGCUGGGAACUAAGCUUACACACCACUCAGGAUAGCCUUACGGAGCAAGCACGUUCUAGCACUGCACAGGACAAAGUCUUUGGCAGCCACAUGGUUAAGCCUGGCGAUCCCAACAACUUUCCCAGAAGAUGAACAUGGUCAGGAGGUUUUCUUGGCUCAAACUCUGGUUUAACUUAAUAACUCCUCCACUCUGCCGUUGAUGAAUGGCUCCCUGGUGCAGGGGCAGGACUAGGCAAUCCAGGUGCAACCUUAAUUGUUACACUGAACAGAAACAUUUCCUUUAGACAAACCUUCCCAGGGGGGUUAUAAAUAGGAAAUGGACGUUACCAUGAGAAGCUCGCUCCCAAGAGCAGCCCAGCUCGGACAUUAAACUACGAAGAGUGAUUGGCCCCCUCCCCUUCCUUUUACAAACGGAGAAGAGAAGGAUGUAGCUCCCAGUCAUUAGUUUUCCUCAGUGGCACUUUGUUUCUUCCCGACAGUGAAAAGAGGCCCUUGGAGAUGCGACAGUGCCCUUGCAGUUUAUCAAUGAAAAUCUAAUAUCGUCCAUAAGGAGAGAAGUGGAAAUCAAUACUUCAUUACCAAAUUGUUAGUGAGGAUGAAGAGAAAUGGUUGGUGCGAUUUUCUCCUUUUCUUUUUAUUCCCUUCCCCCCCUUCCCCCCUUUUUUUCUUUUUUCUUUUUUUGGCAGUCUUUUUAGAGCCAGGUGUCAAGAGGAGGUCGUCAGUGAGUCCAAAGUCAGAAGCAAGGAUGCGAAGAAGCAGCAGCUCUGAGAGAGGGAGAUCCAAUCCAGGCAGAAAGAUCCAGGCUAAGGCAUUGUCCUGCAGGGAGGCAGAACAGAGAAAACAGUGUUAUUUCUAGAGGAAUGGCAUGGGCUCUAUCUUCCUGGCUGUCUGUCUGCCCAGCUUCGCUUUGUAUGGCUGUGAUGAAACACCGACCAAAAGCAACUUAGAGAGGAAAGGGCUUGUCUGUUUGGCUUACAUUUCCAUUACAUUCCAUCCCUGAGCAAAGUCAGGGCAGGAACUCGAGGCAGGAACCUGGAGGCAGGAACCUGGAGGCAGGAACCUGGAGGCAGGAACCUGGAGGCAGGAACCUGGAGGCAGGAACCUGGAGGCAGGAACCUGGAGGCAGGAACCUGGAGGCAGGAACUGAAGCAGAAGCGGAGGAAUGCUUCCUGUGGAGGAAUGCCCUUAGUAUCAGUAAUGGCUUCUUCCUGGAGGCUUGCUCAGCCUGCUUCUUUAUAUAACUCAGGACCACCUCCCUACCCCCAGGGGUGGUACCACCUACAGUGGAGGUCAGAGGACAGCCAUGUAAGUCCCAGAGUUCAAACUCAGGUCACCAGGUGUGGUGCUUACUGGUCCCUCUGGCUGGCCCCUGUCAAAAAAACCACUUCUAUACAGAAGAGAAAUACUCAGGCUCCCAGAAAGUAUUAAUCUAUCCACAAUGUCUGAAAGGCAGAAGCAAGGCAUUAGUGGGUGAAUGGGUAAGUAGGACACAGAGACACAUGCAUGGAGAUUCUACUCAGCCUUUACAAGGAAGGACGAUCCCACGGUUCAGCUACAUGAAUGCACAAUGAGGAACUUAUGCUGGGUAAAAGGAGGCAGCCACCAAAAGGCAGACACUUUGUCCACCUGAUACAUUGUUUCCCCCCUUAUAUAUGAGUACACUGUAGCUGUCUUCCGACACACCGGAAGAGGGCAUCGGAUCCCAUUACAGAUGGUUGUGAGCCGCCAUGUGGUUGCUGGGAAUUGAAGUCGGGACCUCUGGAAGGGCAGUCAGUGCUCUAACCACUGAGCCGUCUCUCCAGCCCCUUCCUGAUACAUUUAAUGGCCACAGACUUUCGGUUUUGAAAGAGGACAAACUCUGGAGAUGACAUUUUUGGUUGUACAAUACCGUGAGAAGAUGGAACAGUGCCGAGGUAUAUGCUUAAAAAUGGUCGAGAUGGUAAAUUCUAUAUUAUGUCUAUUUCAAUAUGAUUGAAAUAUGUAAUCUAUUUUUUCACGGUGAGAGUUGCUGGAAAACCGUGACUUCUGUUCUCCCAGGCUGAGGAGCACCCGUCCGUUGUCACCUUCUCCAUUCUUCUUUUCCUCCGUGUGCUUUUGCGACGUCUACAUAGCCUGCCACUUGCUCACUUUUCCCCUGGGAAAAGUUGUUGGUGACACCGCCGCAAUUUGUGUCUGGUGCUGCACAGUGUGGCUGCGGUUUCCCGAGCCAGCCCUAUCCUCUCGGAUGUGACGUUUGUUUCCGGUUUUAUGCAACCGCAUAGAGUACCCCGGGGGUUGUUUUGUGAGAGAGCCUUUCAGUGUGUUAGAGUGUCCUCAGAGGCUUAACCACCUAAGUCUCGUUCUCGAGUGGAAAGGAGGGAGCGUUUUUGUUGUGCUGGGGUCAAAGUGGUGCAGUGCCUCAUUUUAUUUAUAGUUAAAGAUUUUUUUUAUUUUGUCGUAUGUGUAUGAAUGCUUGCCUGCAUGUGUGUCCAUUCAUCAUGUGUGUGCCUGGUGCCCAAAGAGGUCAGAGCAGGGUGUCAGAUCCCUCAGAACAGGUAACAGCAGAUGGUGUGAGACACCUUGUGGGUGCUGGGACUGUACCUGUGGAAGAGCAGCCAGUGCUCUUAACGCCAAGUCAUCUCUCCAGCCCUAAUUAAUAGCUAAUCAGAGGCAGGAUCUGUGGCUGAGCCUGGUCUGGAACUUGCUACAUCCAGCUGUCCUUGAUUUAUGGAUAUAGGCUUGGCCUACUGUGGGUGUGUGUACUCUGUAACUUCAGUGCCCAAGGAGGGCAGAGAGGGAACUGGCUGGAACUGGAGUUACAGAUGGUUGCGAGCUGCCUUUUGUGGGUGCUGGCAACGGAGUCCAGGUCCUCUGCAAGAGCAGCCUGUGCUCCUAACCACUGAGCCAUCCUCUCCCCAGCUCCUAGACAGCGCUUUCCUUCUUUGUUAAAUAAUGGAAACACCUUAUGUAAAAUAUGAAGGAAGUUCUUGGAGCCUAAGACUUGAGUCCUAAUAUCUCUAACUCCUAUGAAUCUUUUCACAGGUUGGCUCUUUGACCUUCGGGACCUAAGGGCCCUAAAAAAGUAACUUUAAAAAAAUUCCUUGAAAAAAGAGAUUUAUUUAUUUAGUUUAGUUUGUGUGUCCGUGUGUCCAUGUCAGGGGUAUGUGUACACAAGUGUAGGUGUGUUCAGAGUCCAGAUGGGGUGCCAGAUUCCCUAGAACUGAAGUCCCAGAUGGUUGGGAACCCCCAGAUGUGGGUGCUGGGAACUGAACCUGGGUCCUCAGCAAGAACAACAGGCGCUCUGUGGAUUUGCUUGUUUGCUUUUGUUUUCUGACACGGGGUUUCUCUGUAGCCCUGGCUGUCAUGGAACUCUCUUCGUAGACCAGGCUGGUUUUGAACUCACCUGCUUCCGGAAGCUGGGACUAAAGGUGUGCGCCACCACACACAGCUUGCAGCAAGUGCUAUCCCAAAUUACUUAUUUUUACUAUUUAUUUGUUUAUUUAUUUAUGUGUUGUAUGCACGCAUGAGCUGUGGAUGUGGAGGUUGGGAAUCAACCACAACUGUUGUCCGUCAGGUGUACUGACCUUCUUCUUUUGAGGCAGGUCCCUCCUUAGGCCGAAUCCCAUCGAGUAGGGGAAGCUGGUUGAGCAGAGAAGCUCAAGGACCUGCCUGUCUCUGCUUCUCCAGAGCUGGGGUUACAGACGUGCACCACCACACCUGACUUCUGAUAUGGAUUCUGGGGAUCCAACCAAUGUUCUCCCACCGCAUGGCAAGCAGUCUGCCCACCAGGCUGUCCUUCCAGCCUGUUGCUGUGGUUGGAAUCUGAAGUGUCCCUCGCAGUUUGGACACUUGCAUCCCAGCUAGGGAGCACUACUUUAAUGACUAUGGAUCCCAGCAGGAGAUAGGACCUAGCAAUAGCAGGCAGGACACCAGGCUCAGACCCUUGAACGUUGCCUGGGCCUGGUUUCUGCCCUGCCCUCUGCUGAGGUUGGAACAGCCUCUACCUUGGUGGUCCCAAUGUGACAUAGAUGCUUCAGUAUGUCCUAUCUCCAUCUCCCCACAGGCCGGAGCCCUUGGUAAGCUAAAUAACUCUUGCAUGCCUUCAGCUGUUUCCACCAGGUUGUUCAGCAGAAAAGUAACGAAUGCCCUUGUUACUAAGUAACGAAGCAAAUCGCUAACAUCAGCGUCUGGGUAAGUUAGAGGCAUUUCCCCAGGAACUUCCGAGUACAGAUAUAUGAGGGUCAAAUUCCAGAUAUAUGAGGGUCUUGCUUUUCAAUCUGGCUAUGAGGCUAACCCCACUGGCAAAGUCCCUCAGAAUAGCCAAGCCAGGUGCCAAAUGGCUGUAAUCAGGCAUUUAAGAAACAGAGGCAGGAAGGUCAGGAGUUCAAGGCCAGUCUGGACUACAUGAGACCCUAUCUCAAAACCAACAGAACAAAAACGAAGUCCUUUGUAUCUCCACAUGGAGAGAUUGGAGGCAUGGUGUCUAUGGAAGUCAGCGUACUGGAGGGAUGAUAGAUGGAGACAGUUGAUGAUGUUCCCCUCCCCCACUGAUUUAGAAAAGGAGAAGACCAACUCUGUGGCAAGCUAUUUGAUCACAUUGUGAACCCUUAGAUUGUGAAUUGAAAAAAACUCGUUUCUUGUUGUGCAGCCCUAGCCCACACCCAAGAGCUUUAACCCAAGAGCUUUCUAUAAACAGGAGUUAAGUAAAGUCAACCAUAGGUCAAGAGCAGAGUAAGCAACAGGGACAGGGAGUGAACACAGCAAAACGCAGGAAAGAGAAAGGAGGGGCUCUGAGCUGAAGGGAACUUGAGACAGUGUGGAGAAGAGAGAGCCUUUUCCUUCUGGGAAGUCGGUGGAGUAGAAGGUGAGCUGGGUGCCUUCUCUGCCUCUCUGAGCCAGCAGACGUCCACCACAGCCUCUGGCACCUGUGUCUUCCCUUGGUAAGUCGAACAUGUGGGGUUGUAUCUUUUAAAACAACACCACUCCACAUUUUCUCUAGUCCCUCCCCACUCCCCGAGAUUUUAAAAUAAGAUCCUAGAGAGAAUUAAGUAGAAAAUUAAGAGAGGCCAUUAAGUGUUCCUAUUUCUUUGCUUGCAAUGGAUUACAUAAACUGGGUUAAGGUAGAAAGAAAUCAAAUACUGGUGACUCCCAGAGACCUCGGUUGAGGCCUUCACUUUCUUGCUUCAAAAGCUUUUCUCUACCCCCUAGUAUUUUGUGCUACUGUGAGAAAAAUAAAAUGAGAGUAGGUUAAAAAUAAUUAUAUAAUCUAAGAAGUCAAUGGCUUUGAUCAUUAAGUAGAGUUUGUGAGGGAGAGCCAGACAAAAGGAUACCAUUAUCCACGUGCAUUAAGGAGCCACCAACAGAUGGUUAGAGUUAUCUAUACUUCAAUCUGUCCAUUGUACUGGCUAGGUUUAUGUCAACUUGACAUAAGCUAGAGUCAUCUCAAAGGAGGGAGCCUCAAUCUAGAAAAUGCCUCCAUAACAUCCGGCUGUAGGCAAGCCUAGUGGGCAUUUUCUUAAUUAGUGAUUGAUGGGGAAGGACCCAGUCCAUUGUGGGUGGGGCCAUCCCUGCGCUGGUGGCCCUGGGUUCUACAAGAGAGCAGGCUGAGCAAGCCAUGGGGAGCAAGCAGUAAGCAGCACCCUCCAUGGCCUCUGCACCAGCUCCUGCCUCCAGGUUCCUGCCCUGCAUGAGUUCCUGUCCUGACUUCCCUCAGUGACCACAGUGCUGUGAAAGUGUAAGCCAAAUAAACCCUCUCCUCCUCAAGGGCUUUGGUCAUGGUGUUUCACCCCGGCAAUAGUGACCCCUAGCUAGGACAGCCACGCUGACUUCUUAAAUCCUCUGGCCAAUUGCUUGGGUCGGUGGUUUCUUGACAUGCCCUUGCUCCAUUCUGCCUGUGCCUUCUGUUCCUGCCGGGUGUGGUACUUUAGGCACACUGCACGGCUGGAAGGGAACAGACAGAGGCUGGAAUGUUAGGUACCAUUACAGUGGAGAGACUCCCCAGGAGUCAGUGCAGCUCCUCACAGCAUAGAGACUUUGGGGGCUCGAUGAACAUUUGGUGCUCACACUGAAGACUGUGCAUUCUAUCCAAGCAACUCUGGCCUCUCCAUGCAGGCUCCCAUAAUACCUGGUUUCGAGCAUGUACACACUUUGGUCAAGCACAUACACACGUCCUUUCUGGAACGGACUGAAGUUGAUGGGUUUGGGUGGUUUGCUCCUGUGGGGAGCAGGGAAGGAGGGUGUGACUCGUGACUCUUAUCUUGGGGAUCCUCAAAGCUAUUUGGCCAGAGGGGAAAAACACAAGGGAAAUAUUCUUGUUGAAAAUUAAAAAAAAUGUCAUUAAAAACUAGAAGACUAUGAUAGAGUAAAAAUGGAGACAGGGACUUUUAAUGGUGCCAUCCUCAGAGAAGCCGCAGUUAAUAUUUCUUCAAAUUGAUUUAUGAUUUGAAAAAUCUGAAUCAGCUCGUCUCAUUGCUUGGUCUCACAGACAGCGCUCUGUUUAGUUUUCCCUAAGAGAAGUCAUCUCUGCGCGCAGAAACCCUUACACUUUGGUGGACCAACUUCAGCUCUUACAGAAGAGUUCUACGAUGCCGGGCAGGUGGAACCACACCACUGGAUGCGGUGCUGGGAAUGGAACCGGGGUCUUCGUGUAUGUUAGAGGCCUAGGUCCCUGAAGUGACUUAACCAAGGCGAUAUGAUCAUGAAUAAAAUCGAUUAAUCUAAUA
Rattus norvegicus (Norway rat) is the source of this 9638-nucleotide non-coding RNA. The record is from RefSeq and is a predicted model, not a curated record. Lineage: Eukaryota; Metazoa; Chordata; Mammalia; Rodentia; Muridae.